This 75-nucleotide transfer RNA is filed under the name Marmota monax (woodchuck). RNAcentral's name for it is "tRNA.Ala". The record is from RNAcentral. Lineage: Eukaryota; Metazoa; Chordata; Mammalia; Rodentia; Sciuridae.
CUGGGGUUGGGGCUCAGUGGUAGAGUGCUUGUCUAGCAUGUGUGAGGCACUGCGUUUGAUUCUCAGUACUGCAUA